AGAGUUUGAUCCUGGCUCAGGAUGAACGCUGGCGGUGUGCCUUAUACAUGCAAGUCGAACGAUGAAGCAGAGCUUGCUCUGUGGAUUAGUGGCAAACGGGUGAGUAAUAGAUAGGUAACCUUCCUUGAAGAUGGGGAUAUACGGUAGAAAUACCGGGCAAUACCCAAUAAUGUCAUUUCCCUUAAGGGUUAUGAAGAAAGAUGCAAAUCGCUUUGAGACGGACUUAUCUCCUAUCAGCUAGUUGGUGAGGUAAUGGCUCACCAAGGCUACGACGGGUAGCUGGUCUGAGAGGACGGUCAGCCACAUUGGGACUGAGACACGGCCCAGACUCCUACGGGAGGCAGCAGUCGGGAAUAUUCGGCAAUGGGCGAAAGCCUGACCGAGCGACACCGCGUGAAUGACGAAGGCCUUCGGGUCGUAAAAUUCUUUUACUUGGGAAGAACGCAUAGCAAUAUGUUUGACGGUACCAAGUGAAUAAGCCCCAGCUAACUACGUGCCAGCAGCUGCGGUAAUACGUAGGGGGCGAGCGUUAUCCGGAAUCACUGGGCGUAAAGGGUCCGUAGGCGUCCUGUUAAGUUAGGAGUUAAAUCGCAAGGCUCAACCUUGCGGCUGCUCCUAAUACUGGCAGGAUAGAGGGUAGGAGACGGAAGUGGAAUUCCUGGUGGAGAGGUAAAAUCCGUAGAUAUCAGGAGGAACACCUGUGGCGUAGGCGGCUUCCGAGUCUACUCCUGACGCUGAUGGACGAAAGCUAGGGGAGCAAACAGGAUUAGAUACCCUGGUAGUCCUAGCUGUAAACGAUGAAUACUUGGUAGUGGAUUGUACACACUUUUCACCGCCGAAGCUAACGCGUUAAGUAUUCCGCCUGGGAAGUACGGCCGCAAGGUUGAAACUCAAAGGAAUUGACGGGUCCCCGCACAAGCAGCGAGCAUGUGGAUUAAUUCGAUGCAACACGAAGAACCUUACCUGGGCUUGACAUGUUUUGGAAAGCCGUAUGAAAGUAUGGCCCUUUUAGGUUUACCUAAAACCGAUUCACAGGUGGUGCAUGGUUGUCGUCAGCUCGUGUCGAGAGAUGUAAGGUUAAGUCCUUAAACGAGCGCAACCUCUGUCGCUAGUUGCCACCAGUUCGGCUGAGCACUCUAGCGAGACCGCUAGCGAUAAGCUAGAGGAAGAUGGAGAUGACGUCAAAUCCUCACGUCCCUUAUGUCCAGGGCUUCACACAUGCGACAAUGGUAGAGACAGCAGGUUGCGACGAGGUAACUCUGAGCUAAUCCUUAAACUCUGCCUCAGUACAGAUCGAGGGCUGAAAUUCGGCCUCGUGAAGAUGGAGUUGCUAGUAAACGCAGGUCAGCUAUACUGCGUUGAAUACGUUCCCGGGGAUUGUACACACCGCCCGUCACACCACCCGAGUCGUGUGCACCCGAAGUCGGAUACCCCAACCUUUUAGGAGGGUACUGCCGAAGGUGUGCUCGGUAAGGAGGGUGAAGUCGGAACAAGGCA
This 1497-nucleotide ribosomal RNA is filed under the name metagenome. RNAcentral describes it as "bacterial SSU rRNA". It matches the Rfam family "Bacterial small subunit ribosomal RNA". The record is from RNAcentral.